RNAcentral lists this long non-coding RNA (813 nucleotides) under Cavia porcellus (domestic guinea pig). Its description in RNAcentral is "lncRNA (ENSCPOG00000038398.1)". Lineage: Eukaryota; Metazoa; Chordata; Mammalia; Rodentia; Caviidae. The record is from RNAcentral.
UGACACCUUUGUGAUGUCAACAGCCUCAGGAGACUGCCCGGCGAGGCAGGAGACACCUCAGCUCUGCCUCUGGGUGGUGCAGGGAUGUUUUGUGUGUAUCUCGGUGAGCCAGCUGUCCCUGGGGAGGGGGCUCUGCAGCUUGUGAGUGUGGGGGAUACACGUGGGUCCAAUGUGUGUCAGGGUCAGCUCCUGGGAGGUGCAGGAGAGGAUUAGGCUAGACUGGCCCCUUUCAACUGCAGACCAGACAGAGAACCUGGGAUCUCCAGCUCAGCUUCCCUGCUGAUUGAGGCGCUGUGACGUGAUGUGAUUAAGGACUUUUAAAAUUCCGACGGCCUCUUUACUGAUUCUAGUUCAUUAACUACUUGACACAUGAUGGGAACCUUUUGGAGAGAGGGACUUGAGCCCGGAAGUUGAAGGAUCGGGGUAUAUCACACACUCUGUGGAGAUUCAGCUGUGGGCAACUUGGAUCCUUCUUCAGGGGACACUUCUCUGCAGCUGUUCCUUUCUCCAGGACUGGUCCCAGCAUCUGAACCACAAUCCCUUAUUCUAAGAGGAGCCCCAGCCCGUGACUGGCGAGUUUGUGCCAUAAGACCCUGGCUAUUUCCCCCAGCAUGGAACCUUCUAAUGGCCAGCGUUCUCUGCGGCCUGCUGGGCUGCCAAAGAUUUUCCACUUAUACAUUGUAAUUUGAGGGCUCUCCUUCGAGGUCGUGCUGUUUUUCCUUUUCUUUUCUUUCACAGGUAUUAUUCCCCACUAAAUCCAUUUGCUCUCCUAACACCUCCUCAUUGUCUACAUUCUGGAAAACCCAAAUUAUA